RNAcentral lists this ribosomal RNA (591 nucleotides) under uncultured fungus. Its description in RNAcentral is "eukaryotic LSU rRNA". The stretch from base 242 to 395 matches the Rfam family "5.8S ribosomal RNA". Lineage: Eukaryota; Fungi. The record is from RNAcentral.
UACUGCGGAGGAUCAUUAUCGUAUACGAGAGGUGCCAGGGCUGUCGCUGACCUCCCAUUUCGAGGUCGUGCACGCCCCGAGCGUCCUCACACAUCCCACCACACAACCCCCCUUUGUGCAUCACCGCGUGGGUUCCAUUGGGUCGGUUCGAUCCAAGCGGGGCUUGCGCUUUUUACACAAACACACUUUGGAUGCAGUGUAGAAUGUCCUACCUUACUUUGCGGUUGUACGCAAUCAAUACAACUUUCAACAACGGAUCUCUUGGCUCUCGCAUCGAUGAAGAACGCAGCGAAAUGCGAUACGUAAUGUGAAUUGCAGAAUUCAGUGAAUCAUCGAAUCUUUGAACGCACAUUGCGCCCCUUGGUAUUCCGAGGGGCAUGCCUGUUCGAGCGUCAUUAUAACCACUCAAGCUUCGGCUUGGUCUUGGGGUUCGCGGUCUCGCGUCCCUUAAAAUCAGUGGCGGUGCCGUCUGGCUCUAAGCGUAGUAAUUCUCUCGCUAUAGGGUCCCGGUGGUUGCCUGCCAGAACCCCCCAUUUUUUACGGUUGACCUCGGAUCAGGUAGGGAUACCCGCUGAACUUAAGCAUAUCAUA